RNAcentral lists this ribosomal RNA (226 nucleotides) under uncultured bacterium. RNAcentral describes it as "partial 16S ribosomal RNA". It matches the Rfam family "Bacterial small subunit ribosomal RNA", at positions 524 to 748 of the family's 1533-position model. The record is from RNAcentral.
UACGAGGGGGCAAGCGUUGUUCGGAAUUAUUGGGCGUAAAGGGUGCGUAGGCGGCGCGGUAUGUCUCUUGUGAAAUCUCCAGGCUCAACUUGGAGUCUGCAAGGGAAACUGCCGUGCUUGAGUACUGGAGAGGUGAGUGGAAUUCCGGUGUAGCGGUGAAAUGCGGUAGAUAUCGGGAGGAACACCUGUGGCGAAAGCGGCUCACUGGACAGUAACGUGACGACUG